Molecule: ribosomal RNA, 253 nt
Filed under: uncultured bacterium
Lineage: Bacteria
Description: partial 16S ribosomal RNA
Rfam family: Bacterial small subunit ribosomal RNA
Source: RNAcentral
UACGAAGGGGGCUAGCGUUGCUCGGAAUUACUGGGCGUAAAGGGAGCGUAGGCGGCUUUGCAAGACAGAUGUGAAAUCCCCGGGCUCAACCUGGGAACUGCAUUUGUGACUGCAAGGCUAGAGUACGGCAGAGGGGGAUGGAAUUCCGCGUGUAGCAGUGAAAUGCGUAGAUAUGCGGAGGAACACCAAUGGCGAAGGCAAUCCCCUGGGCCUGUACUGACGCUCAUGCACGAAAGCGUGGGGAGCAAACAGG